UGGGGAAUAUUGGACAAUGGGCGCAAGCCUGAUCCAGCCAUGCCGCGUGAGUGAUGAAGGCCCUAGGGUUGUAAAGCUCUUUCACCGGUGAAGAUAAUGACGGUAACCGGAGAAGAAGCCCCGGCUAACUUAGUGCCAGCAGCCGCGGUAAUACGAAGGGGGCUAGCGUUGUUCGGAUUUACUGGGCGUAAAGCGCACGUAGGCGGACUUUUAAGUCAGGGGUGAAAUCCCGGGGCUCAACCCCGGAACUGCCUUUGAUACUGGAAGUCUUGAGUAUGGUAGAGGUGAGUGGAAUUCCGAGUGUAGAGGUGAAAUUCGUAGAUAUUCGGAGGAACACCAGUGGCGAAGGCGGCUCACUGGACCAUUACUGACGCUGAGGUGCGAAAGCGUGGGGAGCAAACAGG
This 404-nucleotide ribosomal RNA is filed under the name Actinomycetes bacterium. RNAcentral describes it as "Actinobacteria bacterium partial 16S ribosomal RNA". It matches the Rfam family "Bacterial small subunit ribosomal RNA", at positions 355 to 776 of the family's 1533-position model. Lineage: Bacteria; Bacillati; Actinomycetota; Actinomycetes. The record is from RNAcentral.